This 380-nucleotide transfer-messenger RNA is filed under the name Phycisphaerae. RNAcentral's name for it is "f WQYP01 X1 Standard tmRNA". It matches the Rfam family "transfer-messenger RNA". Rfam says of the family: Bacterial tmRNA, also known as 10Sa RNA or SsrA, is named for its dual tRNA and mRNA-like properties. Its role is to liberate the mRNA from a stalled ribosome. To accomplish this part of the tmRNA is used as a reading frame that ends in a translation stop signal. RNAcentral also lists the same sequence under 1 other name. Lineage: Bacteria; Pseudomonadati; Planctomycetota. The record is from RNAcentral.
GGGGGCGAAAGGUAUCGACCGGCCAGAAGUGUUGAACAUGGCGUGCCGACCUGUCAUGCAAGUCGUAAAACUGCGUGGCACAAAUUUUAAAUGCCGAGAACUUCAAGUUCCCGGUCGGGGGCGCAAGCCUCCGGCUCGCUGCCUAAGAGAUUAGCCAGCCGAUUCGCUUGUGAUGUCUGCGUCACGGGAUGAAUCGUCACUUAGCAGACUGCUGAAUGCGUAACGUUUGCCGACGCGUUCUUAAGACACAGGGUGAGCUGGCCGCGGAUGAAGUCAGGCCAUCGACGUCAUCCGCGGUGAGAUUAAAAUGUGGCCUACGCAUGUAGAGGUGUUCAUCAACCUUGCUCGGGACGAGGGUUCAACUCCCUCCGCCUCCAUUU